UGUCACUGAGACUAUAUGUGUUAUUUCCUGA
Molecule: non-coding RNA, 31 nt
Filed under: Rattus norvegicus (Norway rat)
Lineage: Eukaryota; Metazoa; Chordata; Mammalia; Rodentia; Muridae
Source: RNAcentral